UGGGGAAUAUUGGACAAUGGGGGAAACCCUGAUCCAGCGACGUCGCGUGGGUGAUGAAGGUCUUAGGAUUGUAAAACCCUUUUAUAAAAGAAGAUAAUGACUGUAUUUUAUGAAUAAGCCCCGGCUAACUUCGUGCCAGCAGCCGCGGUAAUACGAAGGGGGCAAGCGUUAUUCGGAAUGACUGGGCGUAAAGGGCGUGUAGGUGGAUUUGUACGUUUGAUGUGAAAGUCCUGGGCUUAACCUAGGGAUUGCAUUGAAUACGGCAAGUCUAGAGCGUGAGAGGGGAAAACGGAAUUGCGGGUGUAGAGGUGAAAUUCGUAGAUAUCCGCAGGAACACCAAUGGCGAAGGCAGUUUUCUGGCUCAUGGCUGACACUGAGGCGCGAAAGCGUGGGGAGCAAACAGG
RNAcentral lists this ribosomal RNA (404 nucleotides) under uncultured Paracaedibacteraceae bacterium. RNAcentral's name for it is "bacterial SSU rRNA". It matches the Rfam family "Bacterial small subunit ribosomal RNA", at positions 355 to 776 of the family's 1533-position model. Lineage: Bacteria; Pseudomonadati; Pseudomonadota; Alphaproteobacteria; Holosporales; Candidatus Paracaedibacteraceae. The record is from RNAcentral.